Girardinichthys multiradiatus is the source of this 959-nucleotide long non-coding RNA. RefSeq lists it as uncharacterized. NCBI's taxonomy places the organism in Eukaryota, Metazoa, Chordata, Actinopteri, Cyprinodontiformes, Goodeidae. The record is from RefSeq and is a predicted model, not a curated record. The transcript is spliced from 3 exons.
CAUCAGCAGGAACAUAAAAGCACAUGGAUCAACUUGCUGCUGCAAUCACAUGUGCUGGUUUCUGCAGAAUUCAGCAUAGCUCGUAGUUUUGGCCCAUGAACUGCACCGGCUGGGAGAGAUCUGGACAGGGAGAAGAGGAGCAGGGGAAAAAAUGGCGAGAGAACAGAGCGGGAUGAAGAGGAGGUGGAGUGCAGAUAGUAAUGGAGCUGCUGGCAGAGUUCCUGGUUGUUCGUGGGUAUUCAUGUAGCUGGUGGGUUUAGUUAAAUGGAGCGAACAGAGGGGAGGAUGGAGGGAGAGGGGGAGGAGACGGGUGCCGAGUUUCAGCUGAACAAGAGGUCUACUUGUGCCCUUCUCUGCUGAAGCACCAUGAAGCACCACCCAGACAUGUUGAACAAAGCAAAGAGGUUCAGCUGAUCUCCAACUUGAGAAAAAAUAGCGACUGAACUCUUAUGACCCGGGAUGAGGGCUGAGACGUAGAUGGACGAUUAGGUUUUCACCAUAUCAGACCAGAACCUCCACCUCGAACUGCAGAAACCUGAAGGAAUUUUAGUAAGCAGACCGACCCUGCACAGCCGUGGUCCCUGAUGCCUCAGACUGAACUGAAUCCUGAACCAUCAUCCAUCAACAGCUGAUGGAACCACAUGGAGCAGGAAUCACUGUGGGAAACCUCUGUCCAGCUCCACAACACAGAGAGAUUCACAAGCUCAGCUGUGCAGAUCAGAAGCCUGAUGCCAACCUUCACUGGUGAUGACCACCUCUCUGCUUCUGGAGGAAUCUGGGAUGGACCGUCACACACAGGAGACUGUGGUCAGACGGAUCAGUACUUCAGAUGUUUGCUGGAAUUAAUGGAACAAAGAGGAAAAGGAUUUCCUUUCAUUUCUUAUCAAUUAUUUUAUCAUUAAUUUUUCAUUUUUAUCCUUUUUAUUAUCAUCUUAUCAUUUUAAAUAUUCAUAUUUUUU